CCCUGACAGUCGCAUUGGGCGACUGACACUAGCCAAGACAGGAGAUUCGCAUG
The submitters of this non-coding RNA (53 nucleotides) gave its source as unclassified sequences. The record is from Rfam.